AAAUUGAAGAGUUUGAUCAUGGCUCAGAUUGAACGCUGGCGGCAGGCCUAACACAUGCAAGUCGAACGGUAACAGGAAGCAGCUUGCUGCUUUGCUGACGAGUGGCGGACGGGUGAGUAAUGUCUGGGAAACUGCCUGAUGGAGGGGGAUAACUACUGGAAACGGUGGCUAAUACCGCAUAAUGUCGCAAGACCAAAGAGGGGGACCUUCGGGCCUCUUGCCAUCAGAUGUGCCCAGAUGGGAUUAGCUUGUUGGUGAGGUAACGGCUCACCAAGGCGACGAUCCCUAGCUGGUCUGAGAGGAUGACCAGCCACACUGGAACUGAGACACGGUCCAGACUCCUACGGGAGGCAGCAGUGGGG
Molecule: ribosomal RNA, 362 nt
Filed under: Salmonella enterica
Lineage: Bacteria; Pseudomonadati; Pseudomonadota; Gammaproteobacteria; Enterobacterales; Enterobacteriaceae
Also listed under: 2 other names
Description: bacterial SSU rRNA
Rfam family: Bacterial small subunit ribosomal RNA
Source: RNAcentral